RNAcentral lists this ribosomal RNA (311 nucleotides) under uncultured Oscillospiraceae bacterium. Its description in RNAcentral is "bacterial SSU rRNA". It matches the Rfam family "Bacterial small subunit ribosomal RNA", at positions 1075 to 1382 of the family's 1533-position model. The record is from RNAcentral. Lineage: Bacteria; Bacillati; Bacillota; Clostridia; Eubacteriales; Oscillospiraceae.
UUGGGUUAAGUCCCGCAACGAGCGCAACCCCCUGUGGUUAGUUGCCAGCAAGUAGCGUUGGGCACUCUAGCCAGACUGCCGGUGCUAAAUCGGAGGAAGGUGGGGACGACGUCAAAUCAUCAUGCCCUUUAUGUCCUGGGCUACACACGUACUACAAUGGCCGUUACAACGGGAAGCGAAGGAGCAAUCCGGAGCAAAUCCCUUAAAGGCGGUCCCAGUUCAGAUUGUGGGCUGAAACUCGCCCACAUGAAGGCGGAAUUGCUAGUAAUUGCAGAUCAGCAUGCUGCCAGUCGAAUACGUUCCCGGGCCUU